Molecule: transfer RNA, 61 nt
Filed under: Bos taurus (domestic cattle)
Lineage: Eukaryota; Metazoa; Chordata; Mammalia; Artiodactyla; Bovidae
Also listed under: 2 other names
Rfam family: tRNA
About the family: Transfer RNA (tRNA) molecules are approximately 80 nucleotides in length. Their secondary structure includes four short double-helical elements and three loops (D, anti-codon, and T loops).
Source: Rfam by way of RNAcentral
GGUGGUAUAGAGGUGAACAUGGCUGCCUUCCAAGCAGCGGACCUGGGUUCGAUUCCUAGCC